CUAGUAGUCCUCACUAUUCUGUUAAAUAGUGUGACAAUAAAUGUAAUGAGGACUUAUUCUGAGAGUGGAUAUUGUCUAGAAGACAGUAUUUGUAUUAAAACUCACAGCUCUCUUGUUGUAUAAUUAAGAUUGUAUUUGUAUUCUGUACCGUGUAUUUGGCGACUCAGAAUAGGUGAUGUAUACCUAUUUUGGGAGCGUCACAACAUGGACCAAUCUGAGCAGCUUCAGGUGUAUAUACACAUUUACCUAUACACAAUAUUUCUAACGUGUGAGCUCAUCUGCAUAUAACAAGUUACUUACUACUAAACUAAGUUUAGAACAAUGUUUGUGCCUAGGAUCAGACUCAAAGUGAUUAGCUUUUGAAUAUAGCAUGAGAACCUGCUUUGAUACCAAUUGUUAGUUCCCAGUAGGCACAAUAGAUCUAGAAGGGGGGGUUGAAUAGAUCCUUUUUAAUAUCAAAUACUUUUCUGGUUUACUUUGUAUUGCUCAUAAUUUAGCAUAUGACAAACAUAAGAAUCUUUUCAAGCACAACGGAAUAAGUAAAAGAUCCCCUUCAUUGAUAUAUUCAUCAUCAUACAUAUAUUGUUCGUAGAGUUAGUUCGGUUGUAAGCAGUUAGAACAUACAUAGCAGUUAUAGCAGUUAUAGCACAUAAUGUAAAUGACAUAAUGUAAAUGACAUAAGGGUUUUUAAGUGGUUCAGAGACUCAAGCUCCUAAUCCAAUCUUCUUCUUUCAACUAGCAAGAUUUCCACUAAGGAAGGGAAGCACCCUGAAUCACUAAGAUUCCUUCAAGGCCAGCAGCCUUGGAACUUCAGUUCACUAAGAACUCUUCAAGGCCACCAGCCUUGGAACUCCUCUAGUUCCCUAGGAACUCUUCAAGCCCAGCAGGCUUGGAACUUCAUUUAGUCCCUCCGGACAAGGACACCUUAGGCCCUGGCUUCUGUUGAGUUGUUUGUUUGUUUGUUGGAGUUGGUGCUGAGCUGCUAAGAUGUCUUCAUGCUCUGAACAUCUUCUUUACUUAUCCGCUUGGCGUGAUCACCCUUGAAGUACAGUUGAGUGUUGCAUGAUGCUCAGCUUCUUCAGUUACUCAACCACUUCGGAUGAUCCCUUGAUGACUGCCUUAAAGAUCAUUCCUCUUGAUACAUGAUGGCUGCACAUGAUGGGUUUCUAAGAUGACUGUAAGCUCUUCUGCUAGGUACUUAGAAACUUUCUCAUGCUUGCCACCAUGAUGACGUUUGUGAUCUCCCUUCUUGAUACUUGAUGUCUUCUCAUGAUGGACUUGCUAAGAUGACUAUGAGCUCUUCUUCAUGGUACUUAGAGUCUUCCCAUGAUGGGCACCAAGAUGACAUGAUGCUCUUCUUUCUCUCAGCAGUUCAGAACACUCUUCAAGUAGUAGAACUCUCACUUCUACAUUGUAGAACUCUCACUUCUACUUCUUUCUUUGUCUGACUCUAAGUAUUCUUGGUGGAUCAUAGAGUGAGCCUUCGGACUCACUAUCUUACAUGGUUUAGAACAGUCCACCAUUACUCCAAACUCGGCAACUUUAGCUCACUUCGAUCUUUGAAGCUCUAGCAAAUUUAUACUCCUUCCCAAUCCUUCCGUUGGAAAGUAGUCGUUGAAGGCUAUUCAAAUGUCUUCACAGAUCUCGAGUUGACAGAGGUAGACUGCUAAUGUGAUAAGUCAUACUUUCUCUGACAUUGCAGUCUACUAUUUCACCUACCCAUCAGAGAUGUCACUUUAAUGUCUUGGGCAGGUCGAAGACUUUAUUUCCUCCUUCUGAUUUCUCGAUCAGAGGUUGUCCUUUUGCAUCGAUGCUCUCAAUAAGCUUUUAUCUGAAUAUAACCCUUCAGAUUGAACCGUUGCCAAUGCUUCAGUCUUCAGCUAUUCGAACUCUACGAUUCUGAUGCAUGUCUUCGAGGACCUGAUCGUAGUGUCAUGUUGACUGGUAUAGACAACACUACGAUCUUGAAGAGUAUUGAUUGGAUCUUUAGUGUAGAACACCUCUUCCUUCUCUUAUGUAGUACUUCAACACUUUUGUUUGCUUCGACUGUUCUCAGAUACUGAUGGCUUGACUUUUUUGAUCUGGCCCCUUAAGAAUAGCAAGACACUUCAGAUUUGUGGCGCAUCCAGCUCGCUUUCUCCUGGUGAUCUCCCGUUCACUUAUCAUCAAUGGACUGACCCUACGCUUAAUCACUUUAGCCUUGUUCUUCAGAGGCUGACCAGUAUCUCUGUGCACAUUCCAUCAGUUCUUUCUUUAUUUGGCAAACACUAUGAUCCUGGUUGCUUCCAAGAUCGUUGUCUUCUGUCUGCUUGACAGCUACUGCACUUGUUGACUUUCUUUAGUCAGUUACUGAAGUCUUCUUCUGAUCAACUUGUGGAAGACUUUGUCUCGAAUGGCUUCACAACUCAAUCUUGAUGCUUAUUGGGUUGGUGAUUAGAUCUUCUGUUAGCUUGCAUGCCAUUCGUUGAGCGCUCUCUAGUUCCCUUCAGGUGGGAUGUAUCUUCGCAGUGCCAACCAGAGGCUUUGUUCCUUUGGAUAUUCUGGGAGUUCUCAUUGGUUGAGAAUCGUAUUUGCCCUACGAUUCUGCCUAUGCAUUGUGAGCACAUAUGUUGAGGUCGUAGUUCUGCACUCUACGAUUCAGCUUCAGCUGUGCAGACACUACGACUCCUAGAUCAGAUCUUGACACUCUACGAUUUCUGCCUUGUGCUUGUUGUCUUUAUCUGAUCUCGCUCGACUACGAUCUCUGCAUGUAAUCAAUAGACUCUACCACUCAGAGUGCAGUUUACGAUCCUUGACUUGGCUUCGGCAUCAGUAGACUCUACGACUCCGAGUGUAGUCUACGUUUCUUACUUGGCU
RNAcentral lists this long non-coding RNA (2856 nucleotides) under Panax ginseng (ginseng). RNAcentral's name for it is "long non-coding RNA (PGIN_LNC003462)". Lineage: Eukaryota; Viridiplantae; Streptophyta; Magnoliopsida; Apiales; Araliaceae. The record is from RNAcentral.